Molecule: non-coding RNA, 74 nt
Organism: Polyrhizophydium stewartii
Lineage: Eukaryota; Fungi; Chytridiomycota; Chytridiomycetes; Rhizophydiales
Source: the annotation of a GenBank genome assembly
GCUCUCGUGGCGCAAUUGGCUAGCGCGUCUGACUGUUAAUCAGGAGGUUGGUGGUUCGAGCCCACCCGAGAGCG